Molecule: ribosomal RNA, 573 nt
Filed under: Hansenula anomala
Lineage: Eukaryota; Fungi; Ascomycota; Saccharomycetes; Phaffomycetales; Wickerhamomycetaceae
Description: eukaryotic LSU rRNA
Rfam family: Eukaryotic large subunit ribosomal RNA
Source: RNAcentral
CAAUGCCUUGCUCGUACGGCGAGUGAGCGGCAAAGCUCAAAUUUGAAAUCUAGCACCUUCGGUGUUCGAGUUGUAAUUUGAAGAUGGUAACCUUGGGUUUGGCUCUUGUCUAUGUUCCUUGGAACAGGACGUCAUAGAGGGUGAGAAUCCCGUCUGAUGAGAUGCCCAUUCCUAUGUAAGGUGCUAUCGAAGAGUCGAGUUGUUUGGGAAUGCAGCUCUAAGUGGGUGGUAAAUUCCAUCUAAAGCUAAAUAUUGGCGAGAGACCGAUAGCGAACAAGUACAGUGAUGGAAAGAUGAAAAGAACUUUGAAAAGAGAGUGAAAAAGUACGUGAAAUUGUUGAAAGGGAAGGGCAUUAGAUCAGACUUGGUGUUUUACGAUUAUCUUCUCUUCUUGAGUUGUGCACUCGUAUUUCACUGGGCCAGCAUCGAUUCGGAUGGCAAGAUAAUGGCAGUUGAAUGUGGCUUCACUUCGGUGGAGUGUUAUAGCUUCUGCUGAUAUUGCCUGUCUGGAUCGAGGGCUGCGUCUUUUGACUAGGAUGCUGGCGUAAUGAUCUAAUGCCGCCCGUCUUGAAA